RNAcentral lists this ribosomal RNA (253 nucleotides) under uncultured bacterium. Its description in RNAcentral is "partial 16S ribosomal RNA". It matches the Rfam family "Bacterial small subunit ribosomal RNA", at positions 524 to 776 of the family's 1533-position model. The record is from RNAcentral.
UACGUAGGUGACAAGCGUUAUCCGGAUUUAUUGGGCGUAAAGCGCACGCAGGCGGCUGAUUAAGUCUGACGUGAAAUCUCUCGGCUUAACCGGGAGCGGUCGUUGGAAACUAAUUGGCUUGAGGCGAUGAGAGGGGUGUGGAAUUCCCGGUGUAGUGGUGGAAUGCGUAGAUAUCGGGAGGAACACCAGUGGCGAAGGCGACUUCCUGGCCUGUUCUUGACGCUGAGGCGCGAAAGCUAGGGGAGCAAACGGG